CUUCAUUACCUUGCACACAAAUAAGGGAGCCGAGAGUGAUACUUGGAAGAGAAAAACAAGUUUAUUUGCAAAUAGAAUCCCGGUCAUAAGUUUUUGUCUCCAAAUAACAGUUUGUCUUGGCACUUGGAAUUUGCUCAUCUGUGCAGAAAGCUACAACUCUACAAGAAGCCGUUGCUCAACAAGUGUCUCUCUGUCCAUCCUGCAAGUGCAAUGUUUCUGGAGCAGCACUGCCCAGGAUCUGUGUGGAAUGGCGCUUAAGCCUGGUUUCUUUCCCAUGAAACUCCUUCUUUUGCAUGUACAUCCCAGAAGAAUAUCACUGAUUUGAAGAAGGAGAAAAAUUACUGUUUGGAUAAUUGUUUCCUCAUAUCUUCAUAUACUUACUACACUGUAGCCAGAGUUAGAAUUGCCACAUGCUUGAUGGGUAGUGACAUCAGGAAUUUGAGAAGAGCAUGUGUUCUCUACUAUCUGAUAUUUCUUCUCAUUUCAUUGGCU
This 492-nucleotide long non-coding RNA is filed under the name Gallus gallus (chicken). RNAcentral's name for it is "lncRNA (ENSGALG00010025732.1)". The record is from RNAcentral. Lineage: Eukaryota; Metazoa; Chordata; Aves; Galliformes; Phasianidae.